This 1470-nucleotide ribosomal RNA is filed under the name metagenome. RNAcentral describes it as "bacterial SSU rRNA". It matches the Rfam family "Bacterial small subunit ribosomal RNA". The record is from RNAcentral.
AGAGUUUGAUCCUGGCUCAGGACGAACGCUGGCGGCACGCUUAACACAUGCAAGUCGAACGAGAGAAGAGGAGCUUGCUUUUCUGAUCUAGUGGCGGACGGGUGAGUAACACGUGAGCAAUCUGCCUUUCAGAGGGGGAUACCGAUUGGAAACGAUCGUUAAUACCGCAUAACAUAAUUGAACCGCAUGAUUUGAUUAUCAAAGAUUUAUCGCUGAAAGAUGAGCUCGCGUCUGAUUAGCUAGUUGGUAAGGUAACGGCUUACCAAGGCGACGAUCAGUAGCCGGACUGAGAGGUUGAUCGGCCACAUUGGGACUGAGACACGGCCCAGACUCCUACGGGAGGCAGCAGUGGGGAAUAUUGCACAAUGGAGGAAACUCUGAUGCAGCGAUGCCGCGUGAGGGAAGAAGGUUUUAGGAUUGUAAACCUCUGUCUUCAGGGACGAAAAAAGACGGUACCUGAGGAGGAAGCUCCGGCUAACUACGUGCCAGCAGCCGCGGUAAUACGUAGGGAGCGAGCGUUGUCCGGAAUUACUGGGUGUAAAGGGAGCGUAGGCGGGAUCGCAAGUCAGAUGUGAAAACUAUGGGCUUAAUCCAUAAACUGCAUUUGAAACUGUGGUUCUUGAGUGAAGUAGAGGUAAGCGGAAUUCCUAGUGUAGCGGUGAAAUGCGUAGAUAUUAGGAGGAACAUCAGUGGCGAAGGCGGCUUACUGGGCUUUAACUGACGCUGAGGCUCGAAAGCGUGGGGAGCAAACAGGAUUAGAUACCCUGGUAGUCCACGCCGUAAACGAUGAUUACUAGGUGUGGGGGGACUGACCCCUUCCGUGCCGCAGCAAACGCAAUAAGUAAUCCACCUGGGGAGUACGACCGCAAGGUUGAAACUCAAAGGAAUUGACGGGGGCCCGCACAAGCAGUGGAGUAUGUGGAUUAAUUCGAAGCAACGCGAAGAACCUUACCAGGUCUUGACAUCGUAUGCAUAGCUCAGAGAUGAGUGAAAUCUCUUCGGAGACAUAUAGACAGGUGGUGCAUGGUUGUCGUCAGCUCGUGUCGUGAGAUGUUGGGUUAAGUCCCGCAACGAGCGCAACCCUUACUGUUAGUUGCUACGCAAGAGCACUCUAGCAGGACUGCCGUUGACAAAACGGAGGAAGGUGGGGAUGACGUCAAAUCAUCAUGCCCCUUAUGACCUGGGCCUCACACGUACUACAAUGGCUGUCAACAGAGGGAAGCAAAGCCGCGAGGUGGAGCGAACCCCUAAAAGCAGUCUUAGUUCGGAUUGUAGGCUGCAACCCGCCUACAUGAAGUCGGAAUUGCUAGUAAUCGCAGAUCAGCAUGCUGCGGUGAAUACGUUCCCGGGCCUUGUACACACCGCCCGUCACGCCAUGGGAGUCGGUAACACCCGAAGCCUGUAGUCUAACCGCAAGGAGGACGCAGUCGAAGGUGGGAUUGAUGACUGGGGUGAAGUCGUAACAAGGUA